UUUGUGGAGGGUUCGAUUCUGGCUCAGGAUGAACGCUGGCGGCGUGCUUAACACAUGCAAGUCGAACGGGAUCCAUCAGGCUUUGCUUGGUGGUGAGAGUGGCGAACGGGUGAGUAAUGCGUGACCGACCUGCCCCAUACACCGGAAUAGCUCCUGGAAACGGGUGGUAAUGCCGGAUGCUCCGACUCCUCGCAUGGGGUGUCGGGAAAGAUUUCAUCGGUAUGGGAUGGGGUCGCGUCCUAUCAGGUAGUCGGCGGGGUAACGGCCCACCGAGCCUACGACGGGUAGCCGGCCUGAGAGGGCGACCGGCCACAUUGGGACUGAGAUACGGCCCAGACUCCUACGGGAGGCAGCAGUGGGGAAUAUUGCACAAUGGGCGCAAGCCUGAUGCAGCGACGCCGCGUGCGGGAUGACGGCCUUCGGGUUGUAAACCGCUUUUGAUCGGGAGCAAGCCUUCGGGUGAGUGUACCUUUCGAAUAAGCACCGGCUAACUACGUGCCAGCAGCCGCGGUAAUACGUAGGGUGCAAGCGUUAUCCGGAAUUAUUGGGCGUAAAGGGCUCGUAGGCGGUUCGUCGCGUCCGGUGUGAAAGUCCAUCGCUUAACGGUGGAUCUGCGCCGGGUACGGGCGGGCUGGAGUGCGGUAGGGGAGACUGGAAUUCCCGGUGUAACGGUGGAAUGUGUAGAUAUCGGGAAGAACACCAAUGGCGAAGGCAGGUCUCUGGGCCGUUACUGACGCUGAGGAGCGAAAGCGUGGGGAGCGAACAGGAUUAGAUACCCUGGUAGUCCACGCCGUAAACGGUGGAUGCUGGAUGUGGGGCCCGUUCCACGGGUUCCGUGUCGGAGCUAACGCGUUAAGCAUCCCGCCUGGGGAGUACGGCCGCAAGGCUAAAACUCAAAGAAAUUGACGGGGGCCCGCACAAGCGGCGGAGCAUGCGGAUUAAUUCGAUGCAACGCGAAGAACCUUACCUGGGCUUGACAUGUUCCCGAC
RNAcentral lists this ribosomal RNA (989 nucleotides) under Bifidobacterium pseudocatenulatum. Its description in RNAcentral is "bacterial SSU rRNA". It matches the Rfam family "Bacterial small subunit ribosomal RNA", at positions 1 to 996 of the family's 1533-position model. Lineage: Bacteria; Bacillati; Actinomycetota; Actinomycetes; Bifidobacteriales; Bifidobacteriaceae. The record is from RNAcentral.